RNAcentral lists this long non-coding RNA (397 nucleotides) under Oryza sativa Indica Group (long-grained rice). Its description in RNAcentral is "lncRNA OsMH63_07G021670". The record is from RNAcentral. Lineage: Eukaryota; Viridiplantae; Streptophyta; Magnoliopsida; Poales; Poaceae.
AUGAAGCUCUCGCUGGAGCCGAACAGCCGCCAUGGCUGGAAGGCGAUGCCGAGCAACGCAGUGACCAGCGCCACCUUGGCGAACGUGAACUUCAGCGGGCUCAAGCUGACGAGCGCGUUUGCUGGCGCCACCACGAGGAGGAACACAGCGCGGCCACCGAUCCAGGAUUCGAUGCCGAACCACCCGCAACCGAUGAGCACGCUAAUGACCGCCGGCAAGUGCGUGCUGCGCACCCCGAACGCCGUACGCGCGAGCACCGGGAACGGCAGCCCGUGCACGCCUCCUCCUCCACCGCCACCAUCGCGCCGACCUCCUCGCAACCUCCCUCGCGUCAACCUCCAGCGGCCAUGGAUAGAUGGACGAUGGAACAAAGGAGGAAGGGGAUGAGGACGGGAUG